UCCACAGGCAAUUGAAUCAUAGGGUUGAGCCUGGUCAGUACCUGGAUGGGAGACCUCCUGGGAAAACAAGGUUGCUGUUGGAA
RNAcentral lists this ribosomal RNA (83 nucleotides) under Sinocyclocheilus rhinocerous. The record is from RNAcentral. Lineage: Eukaryota; Metazoa; Chordata; Actinopteri; Cypriniformes; Cyprinidae.